GAUGAACGCUGGCGGCGUGCCUAAUACAUGCAAGUCGAGCGAACAGACGAGGAGCUUGCUCCUCUGACGUUAGCGGCGGACGGGUGAGUAACACGUGGAUAACCUACUUAUAAGACUGGGAUAACUUCGGGAAACCGGAGCUAAUACCGGAUAAUAUAUUGAACCGCAUGGUUCAAUAGUGAAAGACGGUUUUGCUGUCACUUAUAGAUGGAUCCGCGCCGCAUCAGCUAGUUGGUAAGGUAACGGCUUACCAAGGCAACGAUGCGUAGCCGACCUGAGAGGGUGAUCGGCCACACUGGAACUGAGACACGGUCCAGACUCCUACGGGAGGCGGCAGUAGGGAAUCUUCCGCAAUGGGCGAAGGCCUGACGGGGCAACGCCGCGUGAAUGAUGAAGGUCUUCGGAUCGUAAAACUCUGUUAUUAGGGAAGAACAAAUGUGUAAGUAACUAUGCACGUCUUGACGGUACCUAAUCAGAAAGCCACGGCUAACUACGUG
This 497-nucleotide ribosomal RNA is filed under the name uncultured bacterium. Its description in RNAcentral is "partial 16S ribosomal RNA". It matches the Rfam family "Bacterial small subunit ribosomal RNA", at positions 28 to 507 of the family's 1533-position model. The record is from RNAcentral.